AGAAGGACCAACUUUGGUCAAAAUGUGUUAUCCAUAAAAGGUGGGCAAGCUUGGAACAACCCCCCAGUCACAAUCGGGGAGAGCACCACUUUCAGUACUUUCAAAGGACAAUUGAAAGCUUGGUUACUGGCAAAUCAGACAUGCAACCAUCUGUGGCCUAAAACACAAUUCAACUGUGGAGGCACCACUCAAAUUUUUACUGGUUGUUGGUUUUCCCCAG
Molecule: long non-coding RNA, 220 nt
Organism: Thalassophryne amazonica
Lineage: Eukaryota; Metazoa; Chordata; Actinopteri; Batrachoidiformes; Batrachoididae
Exons: 3
Source: RefSeq, a predicted model, not a curated record